This is a ribosomal RNA of Cavia porcellus (domestic guinea pig), 128 nucleotides long. NCBI's taxonomy places the organism in Eukaryota, Metazoa, Chordata, Mammalia, Rodentia, Caviidae. The record is from Ensembl.
GUCUACAGCCAUACCACCCUGAAUGCGCCCAUCUGGUCUGAUCUCGGAAGCUAAGCAGGGUCGGGCCUGGUUAGUCCUUGGAUGGGAGAAUAUUGAAUUAUAAUUUAUUGACUAUAUAGUAGAAGACU